This 571-nucleotide unclassified non-coding RNA is filed under the name Hevea brasiliensis (rubber tree). Lineage: Eukaryota; Viridiplantae; Streptophyta; Magnoliopsida; Malpighiales; Euphorbiaceae. The record is from RNAcentral.
GCAAAGCAGAAACAACAGAUAGAGAAUCAGAUUCAACUAUAAUGUUAUCCCAGCCACAAAAUUUAAUGCAGCUCAAUGCCUCCCAAACACCCGUAGUGUUGGGAAAGAAAACACCAGAAACUCUGAAGGAACUAGCCACUAUCAUUCCACUAAAAUGGUCCCGCAAAAUCAUGCCAAUACUAGUAGAGUUUCCAUUGACAUUUGUCGCAACAUCAACAUUAAGCUUAAGAGAUCCUUUUGGAGGAUAAGACCAUUGAGAGACAUUAGACUGCUGAGAAAGUUAAAUUAGAGUCCAAAACACUUUGCACCUGGUACCAUUCCUCGUAGAAACUAUCAGCAAAGUUAGAAACCUGGGCAGGAGUCAUAAAUUUGGCAUUCCAAAUAACAUUGUUUCUAUUAAACCACAAGCACCAACACAGAGAAAUCAAAUGACAACAGUCCUAAAUUGAAAGCCUACUAAAAGCAAUGGAAAUCCAUUCAUUAAAGGAAGUUGCAAAACCUAAAAGAAACCUCACAUGGGACAAUUCCCAACAGCAAUGAGUAAAGGGGCAAACAACUCGGAUAUGAAACA